GAGAAAACUUUAAUUCCAUUUCUAUAUUGUUUAUGAAUUUAUGGGCUGAUGGUUUCAAUAGAAUCAGAUUGAUCGAGAAUUUCAACUCUUUGUUACUGUUAUAGUGUUACAGGGUGGCGAAACAAACCUUGAAAUAUACGUCAUGUUGAUUUCGGCUCCUUUUCUGUCGUAUUCCGUUCAUUCUCUCACCAGGUACCACAACAGAAAAAUGACUAUGACUGUGGUCUAUUUGUUCUUUACUUCAUGGAACGUUUCAUCGAUGUGGCUCCUCGAAGGCUGGAAAAGAAAGAUUUAGCAAUGUUUAGUAACGAGUGGUUCAAACCUGAAGAAGCCUCUAGUUUGAGAAAGAAAGUCCGGAAGUUACUCUUGGAUGAAUUCUGGAAUGCAACAAGACAGAAUUGUGUUUCGGAUCAGGACCCUUUAUCUUCCGUGGGUCUGCAAGAAGAAAGGUUGCAGACAAUAGAUUGCUGACGUAGGUUGGUCCAAAAUUUGGAGUUCAGUGCUCCAUCAGCUGUAUAGCUCUUUUAGAUACUGGGAACACGUUGUGGCACUUUCACUCGUUCAAGAAUUGACGGUGAAUUGGCCGUGCAAGAAAUUUUUUGAAAUCACUUACAAGUAGUGGGCCUGAAUGCCUAUCAAAAAAAAAUAAAAAUAGUGGCCCUGAAAUUGGAUGCUCAUCCGGCUGGUGAACAUAUCGUCGAUGUCGUCUCAUACCGUUUGAUGAGGUUUAGAGGCACUUUAGAAACCGCUUCACGAAAUGUAUAGGAGGAAGACAAGGGGUCACUGAUUACAGCUUUUGCCCUUCAUGUUUUGUCAUACCUUACUUCUUUGAUGAAGUGUUUUUGUAAAUGACGGUGAAAGGAGAAAAUGUCAAAACUCUACGUGCUUAAGAAAAUCUCCUAUUCUGAAUUCAGGAUUCUGUGGGGGUGAUGGCUGCAGUUUGUUUUCCAUUAUCAGUAUUUGGAUCAAAACUACUCAUUACUUUGACAAUGUCAUGGAAGCAGAUUUUCUGUUUGCCGAUGCCUGAAAUAUAACUAAUUGGAGAUGCUUUUGUUUCCCAGA
This is a long non-coding RNA of Rhododendron vialii, 1062 nucleotides long. RefSeq lists it as uncharacterized. NCBI's taxonomy places the organism in Eukaryota, Viridiplantae, Streptophyta, Magnoliopsida, Ericales, Ericaceae. The transcript has 2 exons. The record is from RefSeq and is a predicted model, not a curated record.